This 88-nucleotide non-coding RNA is filed under the name Pandoraea thiooxydans. The record is from RNAcentral. Lineage: Bacteria; Pseudomonadati; Pseudomonadota; Betaproteobacteria; Burkholderiales; Burkholderiaceae.
UUCCAUGGCGGGCCUUGGCGGGGAGACCUUCGGGUCUGCCGGUUCCUUUGUGCCGGUUCGCCAACCCUGCCUCGCGCCCGCCACCCUC